RNAcentral lists this ribosomal RNA (254 nucleotides) under uncultured bacterium. Its description in RNAcentral is "partial 16S ribosomal RNA". It matches the Rfam family "Bacterial small subunit ribosomal RNA", at positions 524 to 776 of the family's 1533-position model. The record is from RNAcentral.
GACGAACCGUGCGAACGUUAUUCGGAAUCACUGGGCUUAAAGCGCGUGUAGGCGGGCCGCCCCGUCGGCUGCUGAAAUCCCCCGGCUCAACCGGGGAAGUGGCACCGAUACGAGCGGCCUCGAGGGGGGUAGGGGGGUCUGGAACUUCCGGUGGAGCGGUGAAAUGCGUAGAUAUCUGGAGGAACACCGGUGGCGAAGGCGACAUCCUGGACCGGUAUUGACGCUGAGGCGCGAAAGCCAGGGGAGCAAACGGG